Molecule: long non-coding RNA, 4436 nt
Organism: Apis cerana (Asiatic honeybee)
Lineage: Eukaryota; Metazoa; Arthropoda; Insecta; Hymenoptera; Apidae
Source: RefSeq, a predicted model, not a curated record
UCUGUCAUAUUUUCCAAGAAAAUAUACUUACAAUUAUAAUUUAUUUUUUAUUUCAAUAUUUUAUUUAUCAAUUCUUAUUUUUCAUAUCAUAUUAAUCUAAAUUUAUACUUUUACAUAAGAAGUAAGUUCAUAUUUGAAAAAUAUUUUAUAAUUUUUAAAAUUGUUUAAGAACCUGAUAAUCUUUAAUAAUUUAUUUUAUGAGUGUGAUGGAAUUGUGCUGAGAAAAAUUAUGAAUUUAUUCCUGUAUUCCUUUAAUAAAAUAAAUUAUUUAUAAUAUAGAAAUGCUUUCUCAAAAGGGCACAAUUAUCGUAAGUAAUCCGAUUAGUGAUAUCACACAGACAAAAUUUUAUGACAUAAUAAGUUAACGAACAAGAAUCGUUGACCAUUAUCAAUAGGGUCAGAAAACUAUCAUAAUUUUCAUUACACAUGUAACCAUCUAUCUAAAUAUAUAUAACUUUAUCUAUAAAAACGUUAUAAAAUAUAAAAACUAAAAAUUGGAAAAAUUUAAUAUUUUUCAAAUGUUAUUACAUGUUAUCUUUUAUUUUUCAGAGAUAUUAAUGUAUAUUUUAAUUAUUAACGAUUGAAAAUUAUUUAACACUCUUUAUUCUUAUUUUGUACAUUUAUAGAAUCAAAAUGAAAUUUUGUCUAUUCGUAUAAUUGCGUUACAAAGCAAAAUAUUCGAAAAAAUAAAUAACAUAUGCAAUAAUUUAUUUUACUGUUCGUAUAAAUUUCUUUCAUUAUAUAUACGAAUACAUUACUUUGGUUAAUUAAAAAAUAUCGUUCAAAUUUAUUAAUUAAACAUUAUGCAGAAGCAGGUUCAGCAGAAGCAAGAUUAUUGGAAAACAGGUAUUGGAUAUUUACCAUAUUUAUCAAUAUUAAAUUAUAAAAUAAGUAUGAGGUCGAACGAUUGGCAAGAUUUAAUUAAUGAUCAAUUUAAUUAAAACAUUUUGGUAAAAGGUUUUUUGUUGCGAAUAUCAUGAAAUAAAAUUUUUCAUUCACUAUAUUUAUAAACUUACGAAACGUAAAAAUCGUGAAAAAUAAAAAAUUAUAUGAUAGAGUUAAUUACAGAUUUAAUUACUUAAUAACUGUAAACUAAAUAUAACUAUUAUAAUAAUAUAUUAUUAUUUCUACUACUAUUACCAUUUAAUAUUAAAUGUAUAAAAAGAAUGAUUUAUGUACUACUAUAUAAAUUACGAGACGAUAGAUUUUUGUCAUUUUCUUUUUACACAAAAAUUGAUUAAUAUAGUACAAUGUUUUUUUGAUUAAAAGAAAGUUAUAAAAUCUUACGUAACAGAAAUUUAUCACUUAUACUUGAAAUUAACGUGACACGUGAAAGUUGAAAUCGACGUGGCGCCAGAAGUUAAAAAUGCGACAGAAUGAGAAAGUGAUUCUUUGUAAUAAGUGAACACACAUGUUUGCCGCGGCCAUUAAUUGGACUACAAAAUUGCUUAUAGAGUAAUUAAGUUGAUGAUGUGUAAAAAAAAAUUUUAUUUGACACAGCAUAAUUUACGAUCCAAUGACAGGAAAGAGAUUUGAAUCGUUUAAUGUAUAAUUUAUAGGGAAUAUCAUACAUAAAUUUCCUGUAAAGUGAAUAGAAAAGGUUUAAUUAUAAAAUAUGGAAUUUUUAAAAAAUUUGUAAAAUAAAAUUUAAUAAUUUUUUAAUUUUUUAUAUUAAUAAAAUAACUUAUAAGAUUUAUAUUCAAAUAUAUAUGUCUAGAAAAUAUGUGCCUUCUCGAAUUUUUAUACAAAAGAAAUAUUAAUUUAUUCUUGGGAUAUCUUCGAAGGAUAGAUUCUAGAGAUUUAAUACGAAGACAAAGAUUGAUAUACAUAAAUAAGCAAUCGAAGUUUGCGUUAGAUAAAAAGAGACAAAGAUAGAACGACAUGGAGCGCCGCGGCGUGGCGCGCCGGUGUAACAGAAAUAAAACUUUAUCUUUAUUUGUAUCUAGAUAAUAUAUUAAUACCAUCCGUAUAUCCAUCCCUUGUGAUUAACGAUGUAAUGAGAUAACAAUGAAAAAAACAAGAUGCAAUUAGCUCAAGGAUCCAUCCAUAGAUUUCAAUGCAUACAAUUCUUCGACACAGUAUCGUAAACCUACUUCUCCUUUCAUCUUUCAAGCCUCAUUGCCGAUAAGGAUCAGAAGCAAUCGGUACAUCUACAACAGCAUGUAUCUAAGUGCUAUAACGCGGUAACACAGAACCACGUCUUUGCCUCGCGUCGAAACAUUUCAACGAAAUCGUGCAUCAUGCGAUAGUACCGUGAAGCUUGACUCAUUAUACAUAUAUUCGUGGUCCAUUAUAAUUUUCUAGUAAUUCAAUUUCAGAAUUUUGAAAAAUUUACGUGUUUUAUAGAAAAUUAUCCAUUGGAAUAGACCAAAUCAUAGAGAUAAGAUUCCUUUUUUGAUAUUCGUGAAUUAAAUUUUUAUAAUCUAAGUUUUAUCAAAAAAUUGUUCGAGAUAUUACGAACAAUAAACUGGAGAUCGAUUGAUCUUAUGGAUUAAUUAAUUUUUUCGUUCACAGCGUAAAUUCAUAUAACGAAAGCGUUUGUUUAAAUAAUAAAUGGCGGGCUAUGGAAUUCACAUAAUCAAGCAUCGACGAAAAUUUCGUUCCGAUAAAUGGAAUUUUAUGGUAUAGUAGGUAGUCGUGAUUUCGAGGGGUCAGUUUUCGCAUCGGUGGUAAAGAAGGCGAGCGGACAACAAGUUUUUCGCACGAGAGGGCUACCGUGCGGUUGCGUUACGCGAGCUGCCUCUCCGCUUCGUCCGGUUUGCCAACCAUGCAUUUACCCGUAUCGUUGCACGGCUACUUGGUUGACUGUAUAGACGCUGCCUUGGCCUUUAACGAUUCCUGGAACGAUCUCCACCAACGAUUUCUAUCGAUUCCGAUCUUCGUGAUACGCGCUGCCUAUGCCUUCAUCUUCUUUCCCCUCACAUUUUCUUCUUCUUUCUUUUUCCGCCUUCUAUCGCGAAUUUCAACAACAUUUCAUUCUAUCUUCUCAGAUAACUCGUUCCUUCCUUCCUUCUUUUGUAAACAAUGCCGGAGGCGGGAUGACAAGAUCGGGUAAUAAUAAAUAAAAUCUCGCUGGAUCUUCGGUCCAGAUAGAAUUUAUUAUAUUACAGUGUGGAAAAGGGCGUAUACGAUAAAUUGACGAAAUAUCGAGAGAUUCGUUAUCUAAUAGAUUAAGAUGAAUCGAAAAAAAAAUAUCAGCUGUGUAGUUUAUGAGAUUACUAUGUUUUGAAGAUAUUGAAAAAAUUUUAUUUACUCGAUAUUUUUUUCUUUCCUUUUUUUUAUUUUAAUUAAAAACAAGAUGCUAUAAAUAAACGAUAAAAUAUAUCGAUCGAAGAUCUAAUCAACCAGCAAUUUCUAUUUAACUGGACUAAUGGUACACCAUCCACCAUUUAGAUGAAUGCGUUUGUUCGCAAACUCGAGGAUAUCUGUACGAAUAGAUGUGAAAUUUGCAUGAAAAGAGACAGACAAUUUUCUCGAGUGGUUGAACCAGUGUAAAUAAAAGUGUUUGAUGCGCGGAAGCAAGGAACGAGCAACUGGAACAAAAAUCCAUGGUGGAAAGUUUCGAAAGUGUUCGUGAAGACGUGUCGGCCGAUGGUGAGAGAGCGAGGAAGAGGAGGAGAGGAAGAGAGACGUCUCGUUACCGCGAUUAAAGACAGGAUACGGUAACAAAAGAGAGGCAGGAAAGAAAAGGAAAAGUUAGCCAAGUGUCCAGCAGAUGUACAUACGUUCAUACGUGUAUAUAAGCAUUAUUAUUGGAGUGCACGAGGAAAGACACACGGGUGUACACGUGGUAAACAGAAGCCUGGUGCACACGGGGUCGGUUGCCCUUUCUUUCAUCAGGCCCGAGUCCUUCGUCUUUUCAGUGAACGGUGAACAACUCGGGGACAAAUCGCGUACGUCGAGGAUACGAAUACCGUUACACCGGUUAAAAAAAAAAGAGCAGACCUGACUGAGAAGAGAGGAGAAGGAUGGUUGAGAUGAGAGUGUGCCGGCUAAUAAGAAAAUGCCAUGCUGAAAAUGUCACACGCUGAGCAGCGUGACGUCACGCUACAACUCGUUUCUACUCGUUUUUAUGCUUCUGCUGUGUCGUCAAAACAUCGACUGAGAAACGAAAAUCCAAAAGGCGAAUCCAGAACUGUUUAUCAACAAUGUAAACGUAAAUCAUUUGCCCCACAUUUCUCGAAAUAUUUUGUACAAUCUAUUUGCAUGAUAUACAUUUUAAAAUUAAACGAUCGAUAUAUAUAUUAAAAUUAGUAUCUAUUUUUUUUUUUUUUAGUCUUUCAAACCGACUUAGAAGUUUUAAUAAAUUCGUAUCCUUUGUAAGAAAUAGAAAAAAAUUAUUUUAAAUUUUAGCAGAAUGUGAAUAUUAUAGUAAUAAUCAUAAAUUUCAUCUUUAAAAUACAUCGUAUUUAUGAUAUGUUACGUAAUAUAUAUAA